CAGCUGGACCGGACGGUCGCUUUCCGCGUCUUCGGACGCGGGGAGAGGAAAGUCCGAACUCCGCAGAGCAGUGUGCCGGAUAACGUCCGGGAGGAAGUGGCCCAUCCUUGCCCGCUUUUUGCGCAAGGGUGGGGAGACUCUCGACGGAAAGUGCCACAGAAAACAUACCGCCUCGGCGGCAACGCCGGGGUAAGGGUGAAAAGGUGCGGUAAGAGCGCACCGCUGUCGCAGCAAUGCGGCGGGCAGGGCAAACCCCACACGGAGCAAGACCAAAUAGGGAGGAAGGCCGGGACUUCGGUUCCGGACACGUGCCGGCUCGGUGCGUCAAACCUUCGGGUAGGUCGCUAGAGCCGCGCAGCAAUGCGCGGCCCAGAGGAAUGGCCGUCCCGCCGGAGCAAUCCGGCGGACAGAAUUCGGCUUACAGGUCCGGCUGCCAC
RNAcentral lists this RNase P RNA (437 nucleotides) under Terriglobia bacterium. RNAcentral's name for it is "RNase P RNA component class A". It matches the Rfam family "Bacterial RNase P class A". Rfam says of the family: Ribonuclease P (RNase P) is a ubiquitous endoribonuclease, found in archaea, bacteria and eukarya as well as chloroplasts and mitochondria. Lineage: Bacteria; Pseudomonadati; Acidobacteriota; Terriglobia. The record is from RNAcentral.